This 458-nucleotide ribosomal RNA is filed under the name uncultured bacterium. Its description in RNAcentral is "bacterial SSU rRNA". It matches the Rfam family "Bacterial small subunit ribosomal RNA", at positions 28 to 492 of the family's 1533-position model. The record is from RNAcentral.
GAUGAACGCUGGCGGCGUGCUUAACACAUGCAAGUCGAACGGGAUCGGCUGGAGCUUGCUCCGGCCGUGAGAGUGGCGAACGGGUGAGUAAUGCGUGACCGACCUGCCCCAUACACCGGAAUAGCUCCUGGAAACGGGUGGUAAUGCCGGAUGCUCCAGUUGGAUGCAUGUCCUUCUGGGAAAGAUUCAUCGGUAUGGGAUGGGGUCGCGUCCUAUCAGCUUGAUGGCGGGGUAACGGCCCACCAUGGCUUCGACGGGUAGCCGGCCUGAGAGGGCGACCGGCCACAUUGGGACUGAGAUACGGCCCAGACUCCUACGGGAGGCAGCAGUGGGGAAUAUUGCACAAUGGGCGCAAGCCUGAUGCAGCGACGCCGCGUGCGGGAUGACGGCCUUCGGGUUGUAAACCGCUUUUGACUGGGAGCAAGCCCUUCGGGGUGAGUGUACCUUUCGAAUAAGCA